RNAcentral lists this unclassified non-coding RNA (253 nucleotides) under uncultured Alphaproteobacteria bacterium. RNAcentral's name for it is "contains 16S-23S intergenic spacer region". It matches the Rfam family "Bacterial small subunit ribosomal RNA", at positions 524 to 776 of the family's 1533-position model. The record is from RNAcentral. Lineage: Bacteria; Pseudomonadati; Pseudomonadota; Alphaproteobacteria.
UACGAAGGGGGCGAGCGUUGUUCGGAUUUACUGGGCGUAAAGGGCGCGCAGGCGGCUCAUUUUGUCAGGCGUGAAAGCCCCGGGCCCAACCUGGGAACUGCGCUUGAGACGGAUGGGCUAGAGAUCGGGAGAGGAGAGUGGAAUUCCCAGUGUAGAGGUGAAAUUCGUAGAUAUUGGGAAGAACACCGGUGGCGAAGGCGGCUCUCUGGACCGAGACUGACGCUGAGGCGCGAAAGCGUGGGGAUCAAACAGG